This 73-nucleotide transfer RNA is filed under the name Gossypium arboreum. It matches the Rfam family "tRNA". From Rfam's summary of the family: Transfer RNA (tRNA) molecules are approximately 80 nucleotides in length. Their secondary structure includes four short double-helical elements and three loops (D, anti-codon, and T loops). Lineage: Eukaryota; Viridiplantae; Streptophyta; Magnoliopsida; Malvales; Malvaceae. The record is from Rfam by way of RNAcentral. RNAcentral also lists the same sequence under 5 other names.
GGGUCUGUAGCUCAGUUGGUAGAGCACACCCCUGAUAAGGGUGAGGGCGGUAGUUCAAGUCUGCCCAGACCCA